UACGGGAGGCAGCAGUGGGGAAUAUUGCACAAUGGGCGCAAGCCUGAUGCAGCCAUGCCGCGUGUAUGAAGAAGGCCUUCGGGUUGUAAAGUACUUUCAGUCGUGAGGAAGGUGUUAAGGUUAAUAACCUUAGCAAUUGACGUUAGCGACAGAAGAAGCACCGGCUAACUCCGUGCCAGCAGCCGCGGUAAUACGGAGGGUGCGAGCGUUAAUCGGAAUUACUGGGCGUAAAGGGCACGCAGGCGGUUAAUUAAGUUGGAUGUGAAAUCCCCGGGCUUAACCUGGGAAUGGCAUUCAAGACUGGUUAGCUAGAGUCUUGUAGAGGGGGUAGAAUUCCAUGUGUAGCGGUGAAAUGCGUAGAGAUGUGGAGGAAUACCGGUGGCGAAGGCGGCCCCUGGACAAGACUGACGCUCAUGUGCGAAGCGUGGGGAGCAAACAGGGAUUAGAUACC
RNAcentral lists this ribosomal RNA (451 nucleotides) under uncultured bacterium. Its description in RNAcentral is "bacterial SSU rRNA". It matches the Rfam family "Bacterial small subunit ribosomal RNA", at positions 340 to 786 of the family's 1533-position model. The record is from RNAcentral.